GCCUGGAUAGCUCAGUCGGUAGAGCACGUCCUUGGUAAGGACGGGGUCGUGGGUUCGAUUCCCGCUCCAGGCU
This 73-nucleotide transfer RNA is filed under the name Candidatus Omnitrophota bacterium. RNAcentral's name for it is "Candidatus Omnitrophica bacterium tRNA-Thr". It matches the Rfam family "tRNA". From Rfam's summary of the family: Transfer RNA (tRNA) molecules are approximately 80 nucleotides in length. Lineage: Bacteria; Pseudomonadati; Candidatus Omnitrophota. RNAcentral also lists the same sequence under 2 other names. The record is from RNAcentral.